UACGGAGGGUGCAACCGUUGCUCGGAAUCAUUGGGAGUAAAGCGCACGUAGGCGGUCCGUUAUGUCGGGUGUGAAAGCCCUCGGCUUAACCGAGGAAGUGCAUUCGAAACUGGCGGACUUGAGUACCGGAGAGGGUCGCGGAAUUCCCGGUGUAGAGGUGAAAUUCGUAGAUAUCGGGAGGAACACCCGUGGCGAAAGCGGCUCUCUGGAACGGUACUGACGCUGAGACGCGAAAGCGUGGGGAGCGAACAGG
Molecule: ribosomal RNA, 253 nt
Filed under: uncultured bacterium
Lineage: Bacteria
Description: partial 16S ribosomal RNA
Rfam family: Bacterial small subunit ribosomal RNA
Source: RNAcentral